RNAcentral lists this ribosomal RNA (255 nucleotides) under uncultured bacterium. Its description in RNAcentral is "partial 16S ribosomal RNA". It matches the Rfam family "Bacterial small subunit ribosomal RNA", at positions 524 to 776 of the family's 1533-position model. The record is from RNAcentral.
UACGAAGGGGGCUAGCGUUGUUCGGAUUUACUGGGCGUAAAGCGCACGUAGGCGGGUUGUUAAGUCAGGGGUGAAAUCCUGGAGCUCAACUCCAGAACUGCCUUUGAUACUGGCAACCUAGAGGCUGGAAGAGGUUAGUGGAAUUCCCAGUGUAGAGGUGAAAUUCGUAGAUAUUGGGAAGAACACCAGUGGCGAAGGCGGCUAACUGGUCCAGAUCUGACGCUGAGGUGCGAAAAGCGUGGGGGAGCAAACAGG